UAGUGAUUAACUGAUUACCAUCUCUCUCACUUCAUCUCUCCAUUAUUAUCAUCCCAACUUAUCGGAUUCCCUGCAAUGAAGAAUGCAUUCCCUUUAUCAUCUUACCAUUCAAACCAGUGAGCUACCGCUCCCACCGAAAAUGAAGCAGAACCUCGUCCGCUGAAAGUUCACUGGAAAAUCUAGAACCGUUUAUGGGGGUUAAUGCUUGAAAUUGUCUUCCUUUCACUGGGAUUAUAGAGGGGAUUAUAUUGAUGUUCCUCCUACUGGUUUUAAGCACAAAGUCACUGAUAAUCUUCAAAGGAUCUCGGUAUACAUUUAUUUUCCCUAAAUUUGAUUGGAUUUUGAAAAAAAAGAAAAGUGGGUAAUUGAAGUGAAUGGAGCACCAGGUACACAAUAUACCAACAUCAAGUUGAUUUUCCUGAGCAUUACCCCAUGGAAGCCCCUCAGGCAGGUGAUUUCUUCACCCCGCCUCCAAUUUCCCUCAUAUAUACAGUAAUGACCCUAUAUGCUAAGGUAAACUCUUAUUUUUGAGAAUUUGAUUUUAAGGUUGUUACAUUUUUGUAAAUUUGCAUAAUUUAUACUUAUCUUGUAUGUUCUUCUCAUGGUAGUGUAUAUCCCAUUAUAUUGUUUUCGGAACACUCUAGCGCCAUUGGGUUUUUUAUCAAGCACAUUAUUUGAUCUCAUGUUUGGCUGUUGUUGGUAUCAAGUUGAGCAGAUUUAUCCCUUUAUAAGUGUUGUACAACAUUCCAUCACUUGUUUUGUUCUGAAAACAUGAAAUACUCUUUAGCUAAUAGGUCUCUCUAUUAAUCUGAUUAUAUUCGUAUCUACCGAUUAUACCUGGUGCUGGUGGUUCUUUCCCUACUAAGAUAAGUUUGGAUGUUUUGUGCUUUGAUUUGACUUGGUAAUCACCUAGAUUAGUCUUAACUCUUAAACCUUUUAUUCCUUUCUAUGACUUCAUAAUUCUGCUAUAUGUUAUGUUCUGUGCUAAGAAGCUCAUUGAUUAAUUACAACUCAUUCAACUCGAUUAAAUUACGAGUCUCAUGGGGUGGGUUUAUCCAUUUUGGUCAAUCAAUUUGUCUUAUAAUUCUUUUUUGCCUGUAUGACUUCAUAAUAUUAUUUUGAUGAGCUUGUGGCUUUAGGUAUAAUAUGUUUGUUUCCAUUUUUGCAUUGGACAGAAGUCCUACUCCCUCUCCCAUUGCACGUCUCUUUAGUUGGUGAAAAUUUUAGUUAUGAGGGUUGUCUCGCUAUUCAAUUUAUCAUUGACUCGCUGAACUGAUAAAUCUAAUUUAAUAGCAAUAUCUGAUAUCUGUUGCUCUGAUAAUGCAGUUUUCUCAAUUAGUAAUUUGUUCAUGUUAUCGGAAACUAAGGGCCUUGGGGCUCUCCUAAUGAUGCAUGGUUUAUAAGAAGAUAAAUGCGCUAAUAAGCAAUCGGGGUGUUUCCAUUUCUAAACACUAAAUAAAAUCACGAGCAGUACCUUUAAUAUUUAUUUCACUUUUUAUGAAUAGUCUUUGUGUCUUUGAUACGCUGAUGGUAUGGUUCAUAUAAAUCCUUUUUUGUCUGUAGCCUUGAAAAUGUGUGUAAAUUUAGUUAUCUGUAUGACAUUUGGCAUGUAGGAGUGUUGUUUAAUGGUUAGUCAUAAGAAUCCAUCUUAGCUUGUAAGUUAUUGUUGCAUUGUAAUUCUUUUCAUAUUCCAUUCAUUCAAAUUUACCAUCACUUAUAGUUUAUUGUAAUUAUUCUCAAAUUCCAUUCAUUCAUUUGGUGCCAUCAAUUCAAUCUUAAUUAAAACUCAAUACGUGGUAGAGUUUGUAACUGAUAUGCAUGCAAAUUUAACCAAAAUGUUUUAUAAUUGAGAUUCUAAUUAUAAAUAUGUACUCUUAUUCUUUGCAUUAUUGUCAUUUACAAUUUAUUAUAAUUCUUUUCAAAUUCCAUUCAUUCAUUUGGUGUCAUCAAUUCAAUAUAAUUAAAACCCAUCUUUUAUGUGUUGAUGGAGUGGUAAUUUAGUUUCUCCCUCUUCAAUUUCAUCUUCAUCAAUGGAUGCUCUAGAUAAAGUUUUUGAUCCUUUGAGAAAUUUCGAUGAGGGCAAGAAGGGUCCAGAUGAAAUUGUUCUAGGUAGAUGUUUUUCAAAGAAGAUAGGUGAGGCUGAUAUGAAUGGGAAUAUAAUGCCUUUGCCAACACUGCACAGAAGGCUAUAGAGACUGGAUAAAUAUUUGAAGGAAGGAGACGAGUUGUAGUUCUCUUAUCAAUCCUAACCUAGCUUAGAGGUUUAUUGUUAGUUAAAGAUGCCACUUUUCUAGUGAGAUUCUGGUGCAUCCUAAUCAUAGCUGCUAUGUUUCGUGAUCUAUCGAGUCACACAAGAUAUGAUUCAGGGAAACUCUAAGGCUAUAUUCUUGAAGUCCUGUAAUUUUAGUGUAGCUGAUGUACGUAGUCUAAGAAUUAUGAAGUCUUUUUGGUGUUUGCUUCUGUAUAUGUAUUCUGUAUUUAUUCUGUUGGAUGUAGCAUUAAUUUGUCUAAACUCCAAAAGCUAUUAUGUAAAUUUUUGAUAGCAAUUGUUGUGUCUCAGUCAUUUUCCUGCUCCAUCGGUUUUGUGUUUUGAUUUUGUCUGCUUCGUGGAGACAUGAUCUGCAUCUAAUAAGCAUUAGCUUAAUAAAUUACUGUAUUUCUUUGUAGUGUUAAGUGGAAUUAAGCUAACCUCAAGAUUGGCUGCUUUGGUUAACUUAUCUCUUCUUGGCACUCUGUUAUUAAAAAAAAAUAAAAAAAAUAAAAUAAAAUAAACCCUCAGUUAAUUACAUUGGUCUUAAGAUACCAAACUUGAAACUUUGAGAAUGGAUAUUGGAUCAUAUUAGAUACUACCUUUGUUUCUUAUUAUGUGUAACAAAUGGGUAUUAUUUGUGAGACAAAAUAUUCACGUAAGAAGAAACUGUGGUAGUAUAACAGAAAUACGAAAUAUAAAUUUACAUUGCAUUAGACUUGAGCCAAAUCCAAACUUAGAUCUUCGAGACCUAAGAUUGCCAACUACUCAUAGGGUACCCAAGAACAAAUUAAUAUAAAAUUUCAUAUUCCUUUGUUUCGCUUUGUUUUUUUAGCUUGUAAUUUAUAUCAAUUUUUAUUCUAGAGAAUCAACAUACUCUUUCCGAUACAUAAGAAAAGGGUAAUAAAUAUAUG
Long non-coding RNA from Chenopodium quinoa (quinoa), 3162 nucleotides. RefSeq lists it as uncharacterized. The transcript has 3 exons. Lineage: Eukaryota; Viridiplantae; Streptophyta; Magnoliopsida; Caryophyllales; Amaranthaceae. The record is from RefSeq and is a predicted model, not a curated record.